RNAcentral lists this ribosomal RNA (601 nucleotides) under uncultured bacterium. RNAcentral's name for it is "bacterial SSU rRNA". It matches the Rfam family "Bacterial small subunit ribosomal RNA", at positions 338 to 961 of the family's 1533-position model. The record is from RNAcentral.
CCUACGGGAGGCAGCAGUGGGGAAUAUUGCACAAUGGGCGAAAGCCUGAUGCAGCGACGCCGCGUGAGGGAUGACGGCCUUCGGGUUGUAAACCUCUUUCAGCAGGGAAGAAGCGAGAGUGACGGUACCUGCAGAAGAAGCGCCGGCUAACUACGUGCCAGCAGCCGCGGUAAUACGUAGGGCGCAAGCGUUGUCCGGAAUUAUUGGGCGUAAAGAGCUCGUAGGCGGCUUGUUGCGUCGGUUGUGAAAGCCCGGGGCUUAACCCCGGGUCUGCAGUCGAUACGGGCAGGCUAGAGUGUGGUAGGGGAGAUCGGAAUUCCUGGUGUAGCGGUGAAAUGCGCAGAUAUCAGGAGGAACACCGGUGGCGAAGGCGGAUCUCUGGGCCAUUACUGACGCUGAGGAGCGAAAGCGUGGGGAGCGAACAGGAUUAGAUACCCUGGUAGUCCACGCCGUAAACGUUGGGAACUAGGUGUUGGCGACAUUCCACGUCGUCGGUGCCGCAGCUAACGCAUUAAGUUCCCCGCCUGGGGAGUACGGCCGCAAGGCUAAAACUCAAAGGAAUUGACGGCUGAGACGNGCCGACGACGACGACGAGGAGAGG